This 497-nucleotide ribosomal RNA is filed under the name uncultured bacterium. RNAcentral's name for it is "partial 16S ribosomal RNA". It matches the Rfam family "Bacterial small subunit ribosomal RNA", at positions 28 to 507 of the family's 1533-position model. The record is from RNAcentral.
GAUGAACGCUGGCGGCGUGCCUAAUACAUGCAAGUCGAGCGAACAGACGAGGAGCUUGCUCCUCUGACGUUAGCGGCGGACGGGUGAGUAACACGUGGAUAACCUACCUAUAAGACUGGGAUAACUUCGGGAAACCGGAGCUAAUACCGGAUAACAUGUUGAACCGCAUGGUUCAACAGUGAAAGACGGUCUUGCUGUCACUUAUAGAUGGAUCCGCGCCGCAUUAGCUAGUUGGUAAGGUAACGGCUUACCAAGGCAACGAUGCGUAGCCGACCUGAGAGGGUGGUGGGCCACACUGGAACUGAGACACGGUCCAGACUCCUACGGGAGGCAGCAGUAGGGAAUCUUCCGCAAUGGGCGAAAGCCUGACGGAGCAACGCCGCGUGAGUGAAGAAGGUCUUCGGAUCGUAAAACUCUGUUAUGAGGGAAGAACAAAUGUGUAAGUAACUAUGCACGUCUUGACGGUACCUAAUCAGAAAGCCACGGCUAUCUACGCU